GUCAGAAGCAGUUCUUCCUCAACAACUGGCACAUCUUCCUCCAGAACUGCCUCUCGCACCUAAAGAUGCCGUCUAACAACAGCAUCCGAAAGCAGAUUGAGACGCUGCAG
Molecule: long non-coding RNA, 110 nt
Organism: Etheostoma spectabile (orangethroat darter)
Lineage: Eukaryota; Metazoa; Chordata; Actinopteri; Perciformes; Percidae
Exons: 2
Source: RefSeq, a predicted model, not a curated record